Molecule: long non-coding RNA, 2988 nt
Filed under: Daphnia magna
Lineage: Eukaryota; Metazoa; Arthropoda; Branchiopoda; Diplostraca; Daphniidae
Description: uncharacterized LOC123471087, transcript variant X2
Source: RNAcentral
AAAGUUUCAAGUUUUAACGCGUGUGUUUUGAAAAAGUGAUACGUUAUUUUAAUUUAGAAUAAAUGAUUAGUUUUUAUUUCUAUUCAUAAAUCAAAUUGUUUAUGGUUAGAUGUCAGGGCGUAAAAGCAAGAGAAGACAAUUUCUCAAGAGUCUGAUGUAUGCAGAAGGAACCUUCAUCGCCCCCCACUGAGUGUGAUUUAUCCACUCAGAACUCCAACAUGCAGCCGUAGCCUGCCAUACUGAAAAUUCAACUUUGACAGAAGAAGUGAAUACUUUGCUGCUCGACAAAGCCACCCUACAGGACCAAGUAAAGAAGUAAGAAGAGAUGAACCAAACUUUGGUGGGCCAAAAGAUUGAAUCGGUUCAGCAUUAGUAAUCGAUGGAAUGUCUACGCAAAGCAUUUAAGGAGGGAGACGAGUUUAUAGCCAAUGUAGCCAAAUCCUACAAUGAUAUGGGAGAAACACCUUUGCUGGUGGCAAUAAAAAACAGAACUUCCAGAACAGUCAAAUUCUUGGUUAACAAACUGAAAGUUUCUGUCAUCGAAGUUGGUCCAUUUACAUGGGAAAAUGUUGAUUAUACAGAUGUGCCUCCACUGUUUGCUGCUGUUAUAUCUAAUCAGCUACCUAUAAUUAACUUUCUGGUUGACAGCGAACAAUAUAAUCCUCCAGUUGAUUUAUCUCAACAUCCUCUGAUCUUGAGUAGCCAAACCACUAGACUGCAAAAAAUUAGCAUAUUGGAGCUGAUAGGUGCAGCCUAUAUUUUUGUUGGAACCAGGGCUUCGUUUUUGCACGGAUAUUCUUGCUGGAUGCGAGCGUUUCUUUUGCGCCAAUCUACAACUGACGGUGGUUCGAUAAUUCCAAAAAGUCCAUUGCAGCUCUAAAACCGAGGUUGCUACUGGGUGAAAGGGAGAAAUUUUUGUUGCACUCAACUCGUACAUUCGUGGAAUUCAAUGGUAUUUUACGAAGAUCUGCAGACUAGACGGAAGGUUGUCGAUAGGAAGUCGAUGCUUAUUGAUGACUCUAGCACAGAAACACGAUAGGGGACGUAUAGCCUGUAGAAAGCCAUUCAGUAGUGACUGGAACUCGACAUCGGGAUAUACUGCGUGCAUCUCCAAGAAUUUGAUACAUUCCAGAGCAGUUUCACCCUGCUCGUUAAUUUGGUCUUCAUGGUAUCCGGCCUCUAGAAAUGCCUGAACAGUGGUGCUGAAGUGUCGACCGUGAAGUGGGUUCCAUCUUGUAUCAUUCCACGGGAAAAGCGCACACUCUUGUAGGGCCAGUAAUGAAGAGGACUAUUCCGUUUUUCGUCCACGUAGUUGGGAUUUACCCCCAUCUGCAGCAGCAGCUUAAUCAUUUCAAACGUUGAGUCGGGUUUAAUCCGGACGGUACAAGCUUUUAGAAGAAAGUUCGAUUUCUCAUUCUGCCACUGUCCGUAAAGAUAAACAUGUUGUGCAAUUAGUUAAAACACAGUUACUUUUUAUAGAAAUAUCAGUGUUGCAGGCCGAAAGGGACCGGUUGGCGUACCUGCUGAGCGUCGUGGAUGUUAAGUAAACCCUUGCACUACAUUUUUACCUUAAAAUCACAUUAAAGUGCAUUAAGUAUGUAUUUUAAGAAAUUUCAUAGGUAUAGUUACUAUAUAUAUAAUAUAUAUAUAUAAUACAUAUAUUUAUUAUAUAUAGCGCCCCUAGUGACCGAAGGCGAUAUUAACAUUUUCACUCUCGAAGUGUAUAGGGGGUAAACUUCAAGGGAUAGGAAAGGUUUCCUAAUAAAAUAAUUUUUUAUGAAAACAAGAAAUAACGCUGUUAAAUAAAGAACGCCGGAUUUUUUAAGUGCAAAAAAAAUAUUUUUGCGUAGUUUAAAUUAUUUUUUUAUUUAUGAAAAACACAGUUUUAACGUUACGCUUGUGGGGGGGAGCUCGUGUACUUAAUCGAUGAACGAGUGUUUAGGAGCUCGGGGGUUACUCCUAGAAAAAAGUCUAGUGUGAGUGAUUUGUAGCUCUAUGGUUCUACUGAUCAGCAAAAAAAAAAUCUAGCUCUAGCCGUCAAAUAGUUAUUUGAGUUAUUUGAGGGACACACGUAGCACCAUUAGAAUUCAUGGAAAUAGAGGGGGUGUUCUUAUACAUUUGGUGGGUACUGUAAAUAUAUUAUAAAUAUAAUUAUAUAUUGUAUGAUAUAUUAUAUAUAGGCCAUAAAUUAUUAUGUAUAUUAUGGGAAAAAAUUAACUAUUAGUUCAACAUUUAUAUAUAUAUAUAUAUUUGUUUUCUUUGGUACAUAAAAAACAUAUUAAAUAGAUACUUACAGUAUUUAUUAUAUUCGUAAUAUGGCUAUCUUAAUUACAAUUAUUCUGUAUUCGUAUGAGACUUUCCCAAGGUCAUACAAGCCAUGUUAACAGAAGGAAGCAGCUCAAGUUUCCGGAGAAGGUUUGUGUCGAUUUCAACCUCGUAGGCAUUAAUUCGUUCGUCGUGGCUUAUUCAAUUUUUAGCUCGAGCUGAUUUCUGUGUGUUCCCCACUUGUUCCAGGUCUCAAGAAGCAUCUACUGCUUGCAUUUUCGGGUUGGAUCCCGCUGCCUCAAUCAGUUCACCAUGAACUCGCGCUGGAGGUUCCUUGGAUUGUUCUUUGGCUGUGAUCAACACAAACUUCGUCGUUCGAAAGUGAGGUUUUUCCAUCUUCUCUACUUUCCUGGCAUUUCCAUGAGAGUAUUUGGGAUUUACGACCUAAUCUUCUCCAUCGUAAAUGACGAGAAUUUGGUUUGGGUAGUCGGGAUGCUCGUAUGCAUGUUUUAAAAACCCAGUUGUAAAGGAAUCGUUGAGUUUCUUCUCGUGCAAUUCGCAAUUUAAAAUAAUAUAUAAAAUUUUUUAUUUUGUUUACAGUAUUUUUUAACUCGCCGCCACGAGUACCCAUCCAUCCUCCAGUCAUAUUUAUAUUUAUUAUGUCUCCACUUAAUGAUGAAUUUUGCUUCUAUUGAUUUUAAAUAUAUGUCAUUCAUAAUACAA